CCUGACUUCGUGAUCUGCCUGCCUCGGCCUCCCAAAGUGCUGGGAUUACAGGUGUGAGCAACCGCGCCCAGCCAAUUCUAGGAGUUUUUUAAAGAAUUACAGAAUCACAAAAACCCUAGAAGUCAUCUGGAAGGGAAGAAGAGAAUGCGAAAGAACAGAAGAGUAUAAUGUUCAACAUGGAGGGAAAAAAAUAACAAUACAUAUUUCAGAAAUAGGAGCAGCUUCAGUGCAGGCAGUAUCAUGGCAGCCACUCCACGGGAGGAACGGGAUCCUCUGCCAACCUUGUCAGCCACUCCAACUAAGCAGCUGCUGCACCAGGUGUGUUGCUGCUGUCUUUCUAAGGGUUCAAGAACAUGGGCUCUGGAGUCACAUGGCCUGCGUUUACAUUCCAG
This 392-nucleotide long non-coding RNA is filed under the name Pan troglodytes (chimpanzee). RNAcentral's name for it is "long non-coding RNA NONPTRT013308". Lineage: Eukaryota; Metazoa; Chordata; Mammalia; Primates; Hominidae. The record is from RNAcentral.